GUUUCCGUAGUUGAACAACAACGGUGGUUUUUCAAGUCAUUAGUCCUGGUUAGAGUCCUGGCGGAAAUU
RNAcentral lists this transfer RNA (69 nucleotides) under Sphaeramia orbicularis (orbiculate cardinalfish). RNAcentral describes it as "tRNA-Glu". It matches the Rfam family "tRNA". From Rfam's summary of the family: Transfer RNA (tRNA) molecules are approximately 80 nucleotides in length. Their secondary structure includes four short double-helical elements and three loops (D, anti-codon, and T loops). Further hydrogen bonds mediate the characteristic L-shaped molecular structure. tRNAs have two regions of fundamental functional importance: the anti-codon, which is responsible for specific mRNA codon recognition, and the 3' end, to which the tRNAs corresponding amino acid is attached (by aminoacyl-tRNA synthetases). tRNAs cope with the degeneracy of the genetic code in two manners: having more than one tRNA (with a specific anti-codon) for a particular amino acid; and 'wobble' base-pairing, i.e. permitting non-standard base-pairing at the 3rd anti-codon position. The record is from RNAcentral. Lineage: Eukaryota; Metazoa; Chordata; Actinopteri; Kurtiformes; Apogonidae.